GAUGAACGCUGGCGGCGUGCCUAAUACAUGCAAGUCGAGCGAACAGACGAGGAGCUUGCUCCUCUGACGUUAGCGGCGGACGGGUGAGUAACACGUGGAUAACCUACCUAUAAGACUGGGAUAACUUCGGGAAACCGGAGCUAAUACCGGAUAAUAUAUUGAACCGCAUGGUUCAAUAGUGAAAGACGGUUUUGCUGUCACUUAUAGAUGGAUCCGCGCCGCAUUAGCUAGUUGGUAAGGUAACGGCUUACCAAGGCAACGAUGCGUAGACGACCUGAGAGGGUGGUCGGCCACACUGGAACGGAGACACGGUCCAGACUCCUACGGGAGGCAGCAGUAGGGAAUCUGCCGCAAUGGGCGAGAGCCUGACGGAGCAACGCCGCGUGAGUGAUGAAGGUCUUCGGAUCGUAAAACUCUGUUUUUAGGGAAGAACAAAUGUGUAAGUAACUGUGCACGUCUUGACGGUACCUAAUCAGAAAGCCACGGCUAACUACGUG
RNAcentral lists this ribosomal RNA (497 nucleotides) under uncultured bacterium. Its description in RNAcentral is "partial 16S ribosomal RNA". It matches the Rfam family "Bacterial small subunit ribosomal RNA", at positions 28 to 507 of the family's 1533-position model. The record is from RNAcentral.